AGCUACCCUGGGGAUAACAGGCUUAUCUCCCCCAAGAGUCCACAUCGACGGGGAGGUUUGGCACCUCGAUGUCGGCUCAUCACAUCCUGGGGCUGUAGUAGGUCCCAAGGGUUGGGCUGUUCGCCCAUUAAAGUGGUACGCGAGCUGGGUUCAGAACGUCGUGAGACAGUUCGGUCCCUAUCCGUCGCAGGCGUAGGAAAUUUGAGAAGACCUGUCCUUAGUACGAGAGGACCGGGAUGGACGUACCUCUGGUGUACCAGUUGUUCUGCCAAGGGCAUGGCUGGGUAGCUAUGUACGGAAUGGAUAAGCGCUGAAAGCAUCUAAGCGCGAAGCCAACUUCAAGAUAAGAUUUCCCACCGCAAGGGUAAGACCCCAGAAAGACUAUCUGGUUGAUAGGUCGAAGGUGUAAGUGCAGCAAUGUAUUUAGCUUAUCGAUACUAAUAGGUCGAGGACUUGACCAAU
Molecule: ribosomal RNA, 462 nt
Filed under: Clostridioides difficile
Lineage: Bacteria; Bacillati; Bacillota; Clostridia; Peptostreptococcales; Peptostreptococcaceae
Description: partial 23S ribosomal RNA
Rfam family: Bacterial large subunit ribosomal RNA
Source: RNAcentral